Molecule: non-coding RNA, 961 nt
Organism: Zootermopsis nevadensis
Lineage: Eukaryota; Metazoa; Arthropoda; Insecta; Blattodea; Termopsidae
Source: RefSeq, a predicted model, not a curated record
GUACAGAAUAACUGGAUAGGUGGAUAAUCUGUCGCCCAACGAACUGGUCUGUCUUUUCUGCAUGGCGAUGUUGAGUGCGCGGGUUGGAGACAAUAUUAAUUGAUUUCUUUUUUGGUCUUUUUCCGUAAUAAAACAUAUCGUGGCCUGAAGCAAACUUCAGCACAAUGGCAGCAGCGUUACAUGGUGGUUUGAAUACGUGAGUGAACACAUCGUAACCACAACAUACAAUCUCCGUACUUUUUCAGGAUGUGCAGCUAUGAUGAAGAUGCAGCAGCCCCAUUUCCCAUCGGAGGACUCUCUAGAGCUGUACCAUAUUCACUUGUGGAACUGACUUUUCAACACUACUGCUUUUAGGAGUGUGAAGUAUGAGUAACGAAGUCCAUGGAACAGAGUCCCUCUUGAGGAGAUAUAAUCUUGACUGGUCAGGAAAUUUUCUGCCUGGUAUGGAACUCAGGUUCAAACUUUUGACAUUCUACUCUUCAGUUCCCAAAAUUAUUUGCAUGAAUGUGAGUAAUUUUAUUUGUGACAGUUUUUAUUUUUAGAAAUGUCUGUCAGUAUACAGUAUACAUUAAAUGACUGGGACUUGUCUAUAAAUAUGUAAUGCAAUUUGCCAUUGCUCGGUAUUACAACAGAAACUAGUUUUAAGUCUUUGCAGACAGUUUUUGCAAUAUUGUGGGUAGUUUUCUCACUUCAUGCUUGUGAUUUAAUAACAAAAAAAUCCAAAUAUAAACUGAGUUGAUGUUAAAAUAGUCCAAAUUUGGUUAAAUUCUUUCAUUCGCUUUAGUAUGUGCCAACACGAUUAAAGUUUAUUUAAUGACAAAAUACAGUGUUACAUGACUAUUUGUGUUCAUGCUUUGGUAUGUCUGCUGGCUACAGUUACAUUUUUCAAACGAUAUUGAGAAACUGUUGUAAAUGGAUGUAGACUGGCAUGGAUGUAACCUAUAAAUUAAUAUUGCAAAUG